UCCCUGAAAGAUGAUCAGGUUGAUAGGUCUGAGGUGGAAGUGUGGCGACACAUGGAGCUGACAGAUACUAAUCGAUCGAGGACUUAACCA
Molecule: ribosomal RNA, 90 nt
Filed under: Bacillus subtilis
Lineage: Bacteria; Bacillati; Bacillota; Bacilli; Caryophanales; Bacillaceae
Description: partial 23S ribosomal RNA
Rfam family: Bacterial large subunit ribosomal RNA
Source: RNAcentral